Grus americana (Whooping crane) is the source of this 980-nucleotide long non-coding RNA. RefSeq lists it as uncharacterized. The transcript has 2 exons. NCBI's taxonomy places the organism in Eukaryota, Metazoa, Chordata, Aves, Gruiformes, Gruidae. The record is from RefSeq and is a predicted model, not a curated record.
CCGCCAUCCUGCGGGGGAGUAUCGAGCACGGCAAACCGGGCCUGUAACCGGCGCCAAGGGAGAGUGACGAUGGGAUCUGCAGGAUGGCAGCGACUUUGGUCCGCAGAUAUUUAAAAGCAGAUGACUUGGCGUGGAAACGAUAAAGCCCUUGCUAAAAAUGCAGGAAAAAAAUCAGCAAAUACUAUAUACCUUUCGCAGAAGGUAAAACAGGGCUUGUGAUCUGUCAGGGACCUCUGAGGAGGGGGCAGGCAGUGAGGAUACAAGCUUUAGAAUGGAAUAAACAAAGUAUUUUUACAGCUCAACUUAACGAUGCCCUAUAGCUAGCAGGUGACUGAGGUGAACCGAUCAAGUUGAAGCAUUUCUCUUCAACGAUACUGCUUUGGAGCAGAGGGAACAGAAAAGAAUGUGGUUAAAAGGGAUCUGGGUAGCUAGGGAUCAAAAUCAUGAUCUGAACAAAGUGCAUAGCUUUGAAAUGAGCUUCCAUACCUAAUGGCAAAAGUUAAAGUAUUGCAACUGCUUCUGUUAUCUUUCAGGGUUUUUGGCUGCAUACCCUAAUAUUCAUCGCACAGCUCCUAAAUUAGAGUUGUGCUUUCCUCCUGUCUCUGAAUUCUGACAGAUACAAGUUUUGAAUAACAUUGGCAGCAAUGUCAGGAUGGAGCAAUGCAGAAUUCAGUCUCUCUCAGAAUUCAUUUUAAGACUGAAGAUUUUAUUUUUACAGCCAUGUUUUGUUUGUUCUUUAAAAAAUGUAAUACAUAGCAGUGUGGGUAAGAAGCCAAAUUUUAUUACCUGGCCUCAAUCAUAGAGUAAGAUUACUGAAGUUAUCUGGUGCACAGCAAGGGGCAAUAUGCACUCAUUAAUGACUAGUGUUAUACAUAGGGAUACACUUGGUUUCUGUCUGCUAUUUUAAAAUAACAUUUUCUUGCAUGAGUAUUCAAUAAGGUUGCUCUUCCCAAAGCAAACCUUUGUGAAAGAAGAAGAAA